CCAAUCAAGAAAGCUCUUUAGUCUACCGCCUGAUCUCAUCUGGUCUCGGAAGCUAAGCAGGGUCGGGCCUGGUUAGUACAUGGAUGGGAGACAGAUCUUCAGAGGAGACUGCUCAGAGACAAGGAGUUUGGA
Castor canadensis (American beaver) is the source of this 132-nucleotide ribosomal RNA. The record is from Ensembl. NCBI's taxonomy places the organism in Eukaryota, Metazoa, Chordata, Mammalia, Rodentia, Castoridae.